GAUGAAGAACGUAGCGAACUGCGAUAAGUAAUGUGAAUUGCAGAAUUCAGUGAAUCAUCGAGUCUUUGAACGCACAUUGCGCCCCCUGGCAUUCCGGGGGGCAUGCCUGUCCGAGCGUCAUUGCUGCCCUUCAAGCCCGGCUUGUGUGUUGGGUCGUCGUCCCCCCCGGGGGCCGGGCCCGAAAGGCAGCGGCGGCACCGCGUCCGGUCCUCGAGCGUAUGGGGCUUUGUCACCCGCUCGAUUAGGGCCGGCCGGGCGCCAGCCGGCGUCUCCAACCUUCUAUUUUACCAGGUUGACCUCGGAUCAGGUAGGGAUACCCGCUGAACUUAAGCAUAUCAAUAAGCGGAGGA
Molecule: unclassified non-coding RNA, 350 nt
Filed under: soil metagenome
Description: partial contains 5.8S ribosomal RNA, internal transcribed spacer 2, and large subunit ribosomal RNA
Rfam family: 5.8S ribosomal RNA (bases 1-120)
Source: RNAcentral